CCUUAACCAAUAAGCCAUCUCUCCAGCCCAAUCAUCAAUGACUCUUUAGAGGACAAUACCCACAUAAUUUUUUCAAACUAAAUCUGAAGGAUCCGUGACGAAAAUCCUAGAAACUUGACAUUAACCACCUCACCGUACAGAAUAAGGAAGAAAAAUCUGAAAAGGAAUAAUAGUACUGUGGAUAUAGC
This is a non-coding RNA of Myodes glareolus (Bank vole), 188 nucleotides long. The record is from RefSeq and is a predicted model, not a curated record. NCBI's taxonomy places the organism in Eukaryota, Metazoa, Chordata, Mammalia, Rodentia, Cricetidae.